RNAcentral lists this ribosomal RNA (231 nucleotides) under uncultured bacterium. Its description in RNAcentral is "partial 16S ribosomal RNA". It matches the Rfam family "Bacterial small subunit ribosomal RNA", at positions 157 to 334 of the family's 1533-position model. The record is from RNAcentral.
UUGAGGAUAAUACCCGAUAGUCUUGCGCAUCUUUGUAGGGAUGAGAAUGGAUGUUACGAAAUAACAUCCUAAUAAAUCGCAUCUCAACAAAGAAGCGUAAGUAAAGUUCCGGCGGUAUGGGAGGGGCCUAUGUCCUAUUAGCUUGUUGGUAAGGUAAUGGCUUACCAAGGCGAUGAUAGGUAGCGGGUGUGAGAGCAUGGCCCGCCUCACCGGGAUUGAGAUACUGCCCGG